This is a long non-coding RNA of Macaca fascicularis (crab-eating macaque), 5000 nucleotides long. The record is from Ensembl. Lineage: Eukaryota; Metazoa; Chordata; Mammalia; Primates; Cercopithecidae.
UUUUUUUUUUUUUCUUUUUUUUUUUAAGUUAUCCAGAGGACUCUUACACUUACUAAAGUUGGAGGAUGAUCAUUCUAAGCAGUUGUGAGGAUUGCACGAGAUAAUAUGAACAAAGACUUUAGGACUAUAUCUGGCCCAUGGUAAGUGCUCCAUAUAUGGAAGCAAUUAUUUUUAUCAUUAGAGCACACUGCGGUGUAGACUAACUUGGUCAGAGAAGCUAGGCAAGUUCAUGAAGAGAAAAAAGGGAGACGGCAUUACUCUUUCUCGGGAUUAUAACUCUGACCUCAAAGGAAGCCAGGAGGACAGGCACACUGAAUGUAACCCAAUUUGACUUAAAUGGAAGAUGGAGGCAAAUCAUUGUGAUGUGUUGAGUAUUCAGCAACAAAAUAACAACCUGAAAACAGAUGAAGAAGGUUGCUCUCCUAACAGCAAAAUCCCUUAAGGCUCCCAGGCGUUCUGAAGGUGAAUUUUUAAGCAUUGAUGGAAAUGCGUUAAUGAGCAUAUAAACCUGUGGUCGAAUGGUGACCACCAUGCCUGAAGCUCUGUUGAAAAAUUAUUGACAGCUAUAUUGCUUAUUCCUGUAGUGGUUUGGAAAUGAAAUGCCUUUCUCUAAUCAAGUAAUUGCAUUAAGGAGCUACUGGGAACAUUUGGUUGCUUUUCCGGAAUAGGCAAGAAGUCAACUGCACUUCAACCAGGUUAACUGUCAAGAGGAGUUUGGCUCAAAUUUCUUUUAGUUCAACUAAUGUCUUUUUUUUUUUUCUCAUGCAUAUGUAAGCAAAAGUAUAAAAAUAAAGUCAGCUAACAGCCAAAACACAACAGCACAUUUGUAAUAAAUCCUGCCUGUUUCUGAAAUGAAAUUCAGCAAAAGAUGUGUUUUUGUUUUUUCUUUUUAAGGGAGGGAUGGUGGAGAUGUGGGUUUGGAUACAACCUUAAACCCUAAAAUGAGCCGCAACAGAGGUGGAGUGAGAUGGAUUUCCAGUGACUAAGGCAGACAGCGUCACGCCCAGCUUUAACUGUGUGAAGAUUCAUUGUGCAUUUUGCCAUGGUCCAAGCAGAAAGAUACAUUUUCUGGUUACAAUGGUUUCAGUCGGCAGAAUUUACCUGAAAAUUCAGUCAAAAAAGUCUCUCAUUUGAAAGAUGAACUGGGAGAGAAUUGUGAACACACAGAACAAGGAUAUAAGUAGACAGAAAAUGGUCAUUUUUUUGUCAAGUUGUUAUUGUGAAAUUUCAAGCCCCUUGGGUCUUCGAAAGGCCACUUUCAUGUCUACAGCUCCAUAAAGAUACAACCACUGAAAUAAAAAACACAGUGACUGGGCCAUUUUGUUUAAACAGCGUCACAUUCUUGGCUAGUCUUGUUUGUCACCAAAUUGCCUGAUGAAUACUGUUUUGAUGCCACGCCCUAGAUACAACUUUGUGUUUUUGUGCUCUUGGGCACGAAUGGGUGACUAGCUCACUCAUGGGCUGUGGUUCUAAGGCCCCUGAUUACUGAGCAAAGUGGAUCUGAAUUGCUAGAACAUUUGAGCCCAUUCGUCCGGUCCUGCUCGUUCUCCUCCUCUUCCUCUUUUUCUCUCCCGUAUAUACAGUGAUAUGCAGGGAGUACUACUACAUCAUAGAUCUCAGUCCUCAAAGCUUACAAAAUUACUUCCAUUUGUGAGGUAAACUUACUCUUGUUCCUCAGUCUUGAAUUUACCCACCAGGCUUGCUGCAAAGAAUGAGCUUCAAAAUAACCUAACGAUUUCCACGUGGCAGGGCCAUGGGUUACAGAGCACAGCCUGUGCCCCCAGAACAGGAACCCACAUUGUUCUUGUUGGAAGGAGUGGAUGUGAUGGCAGGGAAAGGUGACACAAGAAAGAAGCUGGCCACCAAGCCUCUGAGCUUUGUGACCUGAUGCUCACCUGACCCAUGGCCAGGCUGUCUCCUCUCUGCCAAAUAGGGAGAGAAACUCUGACUUGGCUGACGUCGUGGGUGUGUUAGGUAAUGUUUGCCAACUACUUUGAAGAUGAAAAGCAUUAUGGGGCACUAAAUAUGAUAAUUAUCAAUUAUAAAACCUCACACCACUCCUUGGAACACUGGGGCAAAUGAGCAGGAAAUAUAAAUGUUUGUGACAGGAAGCCGGGAGCCAGGAUGGCUCGUGAAAUGUGAAAAGUUCAACACACAGUGUCCUUACCUGGGGCAAGCCAGGAACUCAUUUGUCUUUGGAAGGUAAAUGCUUCCUUGAGCUAAUGAGGAGGCCCCCUGAGAGACUGCCUUCUUGAGUACUCAUGGAAUUAUGGGCAAGGGGUGCCUGUGCACCUCUCCAGUGCCACCUGGGUGCCAUGACAAAAAUGGCCCACUUGGAGUCUGGCCUGGGCUUUUCCCUCAUCCUUUCUCUAUUAUCCGAGGAUAACAGGGUGAUAGACUGAAGACCUCUGGCCUGUUCAGAUAUUCACACAUUCUAGACACACAUCAUGAUGAUAUUCACACAUCAUAGCCAUUGAGCUUUUGCAAGGAUCUUGGAACGAGGCACACACCUCCUCUGGCCAUUUGAUUAUGUUUAUAAACUUAAGUGUUCUUGUUUUAGAAAUCUUUAGCCUUUUCAGGGUCAUCUGGAAUCCCUAGGCUGAUGUGUCUGGCUAUCGGCACAUGUAGUGUAGGCAGUUGACUCUACGGCUUCAUCUUGAGGGGUAUGGGGCAGGAUGUCCGUCCCAGUAGUCAACCCUUUUGCCCAUCAGGCCACCAAUGGGAAUUCCUCUUGCCAGUGGUUUGUCUGUACAAGUCUCCCAUCAAAUGCAUCCUUGCAAAGGAUGGUGGUAAAAUAGUAACUCCUCGUUCAUCUUUUUUGAAAGACAGAAGAAUUUGGGGGCACUCAGAAGAAUUACAAUUAUUUAUCUCCUAUGAGAUGAGGGGCUAAUAGGCUGAGGUGUGGUCAGGACAAAACAGAGUGGAAACAGUGCCCAUUACUGAGCAAGUAGACAACAUAAGACUCCAAGUCUAAACCCCACCAGCACCCAGCUGUGUGCUCAUGGUGAACCCCUUCCCCUCCCAUACAGAGGCUCAGUGAACAUUUGUAAAAUGAAACCAGCCCAGCGAGGCAAAUGAUUUUUAGUUCUUUCAUGCAUGCUCUAAAGACUCAAUGUCUUUUGAGCUAGGUCUCCAGUGGUAUUGUUAGGGGAACGAAAAAGAGCACUGUGACUUUCCUGGGAGAAACUACCAGCUGUGUGACCCUGGGCAAGGUAUGCAAGCUCUCUGUCCCUCAGUUCCUUCACCUCAAAAUGGGGAUAACAAUGUACCUACCUCAUAGGAUUCUGAGGAUUACACAAGCUAAUACUAAAGCAUGGAGAACAGUGCCUAGCACAUCAUAAAUGCAGUGUGGAUGUUGGUGAAUAAACAGAAAGAAAAUAAACUAUAGAUUCCUUUGGCAGUUAGAGAGAGACACAGAGUCAAGGCCCACAAGUGCAUUAAAAAUAAGACCAGAAGAGAGAAGAGAAGAAGACCUAAAUGUGCUAAAGAAGCAAAUAUUUAGAAAACGUUAAGGAGCUGGAAGCAUUGCAUCCGGGUUGGGAUGAGUGGUGUUGGAUGGUUCAUUUCCUUAGGAACCUGAGUACCUGAGAGAGAAAGCUCAGCUGGGAACUGGAGUUAGAAGGAAAAAGCAUCAAGAGCAGUGAGUGCCUCUGGCUGCCCCUAGAGUUGGUAAGCCUAGGCUUCCGGGGAGAGGCUGAUCCAUGCUGGGAACCCAUCAGUACUGAGGAAGAAAAGCGAGGACUAGAGAAGGAGCAAUUGUGCAGGGUGGGCAACCUAGUAACAGAGGCAAGGGGGCUGCCUGGAUGAGGAGGAGAGGACCAGGUGUGUAGGACUGGGCUGGCAGGUGAGGUUAUGUUCAGAGGGCUCCAGUGGGAAAUCUGGUAUGUGGAGGUCGGCCUGCACAGGGGGUUGGCGAGCAGAGACACAGAAGAGCAGGUCUCAGUAACACAGGCAGGGGUCCAGCACCAGAUCGGGGCAUUGGUCACAAGAGAGAAGCUUGGGGCAAAAUCUGGGUAUCUCCAGGAACAGAGCUGUUCUGUGUGUGGUGGAGACUCAACCAUGUGUUCACCAAAUCCAUUUCCUGUUCUUCCUGGGUCCAUGACUACAGAAAUGUCCUGGCCACCCCCCUCCCGAUAGGUGGAAGCUGACUUCUGACUGAGUCUGACCAGUGAACUAUGAACAGAAGUGGGGAGCAUCCCAGGCUUGGUCCCAAAGGCUCCCUUGCAAUAUCCUCCAUUCUCACCCUUUCCUGCUGACUGGGUGCAGACCAACAUGACACCUUUGGGAGACGGAAGAGCCAUGGAUGGAAGAAGCUUGGAUCACUGAAUCUGAUUUGGAAAACCUAUUUUGGAACAUAAUGCAAUAAACUACUUAGAUUACUGGAUUUUGUUGUUACAUCUGUCAGCGUUAUUAAAUUUAAACCAGUAAACUGAGGCUUUCAUGGAUAGUCAAUCAAAGGUUAAGGUCAAAGACAUUCUGAGACUUGCCCAGACUUAGGAUGAAGCAACAGAGGGCCCUUUGGUGCUUGGUGGCUGCAACGUAACUGAGUUCUAGUAGGGAGUUUAUUUUUUUGUUGCCUGUGUAUAAUUUUUACCCCAAGAAUCCCUUAUGGUGCUGGCUGUGACGGAUGAACAAACUCUUAGUGCUUAAUGUGUGUGUCUGUAAACAUAUGGAGAAGGGAAAGCUGCCUGAAGAUUGGACAAAGAGCCUUGUAAAUAUCUUGGGGUGAAUGACAAUGGGAAGGUUAGGAGGAGUCUGCUGGGGAGCUGCCUGCAAACGUCCCCUCUUAUUCAGGAAUUGUAUCAUCAGCUGAGUCCUUUGGAAUUGACAGACAAUUGUGAAGAUAAAAUGAUCCUGUAGCAUAAGAAGCUGUAGGUGGUAUGGUAGCCAUAAAAGUUCCUCAUUAGUGACAAGAUUUUAACAAAACCAAAUACAUUUUAAGAAACAAGGACAUUCAUGGCUGGGUGCGGUGGCUCACGCCUGUAAUCCCAGCACUUUGG